GGGUUGUGAGGUUAAGCGACUAAGCGUACACGGUGGAUGCCCUGGCAGUCAGAGGCGAUGAAGGACGUGCUAAUCUGCGAUAAGCGUCGGUAAGGUGAUAUGAACCGUUAUAAAGAAAUCAACCGAGAUUCCCCCAGUAGCGGCGAGCGAACGGGGAGCAGCCCAGAGCCUGAAUCAGURUGUGUGUUAGUGGAAGCGUCUGGAAAGGCGCGCGAUACAGGGUGACAGCCCCGUACACAAAAAUGCACAUGCUGUGAGCUCGAUGAGUAGGGCGGGACACGUGGUAUCCUGUCUGAAUAUGGGGGGACCAUCCUCCAAGGCUAAAUACUCCUGACUGACCGAUAGUGAACCAGUACCGUGAGGGAAAGGCGAAAAGAACCCCGGCGAGGGGAGUGAAAAAGAACCUGAAACCGUGUACGUACAAGCAGUGGGAGCACGCUUAGGCGUGUGACUGCGUACCUUUUGUAUAAUGGGUCAGCGACUUAUAUUCUGUAGCAAGGUUAACCGAAUAGGGGAGCCGAAGGGAAACCGAGUCUUAACUGGGCGUUAAGUUGCAGGGUAUAGACCCGAAACCCGGUGAUCUAGCCAUGGGCAGGUUGAAGGUUGGGUAACACUAACUGGAGGACCGAACCGACUAAUGUUGAAAAAUUAGCGGAUGACUUGUGGCUGGGGGUGAAAGGCCAAUCAAACCGGGAGAUAGCUGGUUCUCCCCGAAAGCUAUUUAGGUAGCGCCUCGUGAAUUCAUCUCCGGGGGUAGAGCACUGUUUCGGCAAGGGGGUCAUCCCGACUUACCAACCCGAUGCAAACUGCGAAUACCGGAGAAUGUUAUCACGGGAGACACACGGCGGGUGCUAACGUCCGUCGUGAAGAGGGAAACAACCCAGACCGCCAGCUAAGGUCCCAAAGUCAUGGUUAAGUGGGAAACGAUGUGGGAAGGCCCAGACAGCCAGGAUGUUGGCUUAGAAGCAGCCAUCAUUUAAAGAAAGCGUAAUAGCUCACUGGUCGAGUCGGCCUGCGCGGAAGAUGUAACGGGGCUAAACCAUGCACCGAAGCUGCGGCAGCGACGCUUAUGCGUUGUUGGGUAGGGGAGCGUUCUGUAAGCCUGCGAAGGUGUGCUGUGAGGCAUGCUGGAGGUAUCAGAAGUGCGAAUGCUGACAUAAGUAACGAUAAAGCGGGUGAAAAGCCCGCUCGCCGGAAGACCAAGGGUUCCUGUCCAACGUUAAUCGGGGCAGGGUGAGUCGACCCCUAAGGCGAGGCCGAAAGGCGUAGUCGAUGGGAAACAGGUUAAUAUUCCUGUACUUGGUGUUACUGCGAAGGGGGGACGGAGAAGGCUAUGUUGGCCGGGCGACGGUUGUCCCGGUUUAAGCGUGUAGGCUGGUUUUCCAGGCAAAUCCGGAAAAUCAAGGCUGAGGCGUGAUGACGAGGCACUACGGUGCUGAAGCAACAAAUGCCCUGCUUCCAGGAAAAGCCUCUAAGCAUCAGGUAACAUCAAAUCGUACCCCAAACCGACACAGGUGGUCAGGUAGAGAAUACCAAGGCGCUUGAGAGAACUCGGGUGAAGGAACUAGGCAAAAUGGUGCCGUAACUUCGGGAGAAGGCACGCUGAUAUGUAGGUGAAGUCCCUCGCGGAUGGAGCUGAAAUCAGUCGAAGAUACCAGCUGGCUGCAACUGUUUAUUAAAAACACAGCACUGUGCAAACACGAAAGUGGACGUAUACGGUGUGACGCCUGCCCGGUGCCGGAAGGUUAAUUGAUGGGGUUAGCGCAAGCGAAGCUCUUGAUCGAAGCCCCGGUAAACGGCGGCCGUAACUAUAACGGUCCUAAGGUAGCGAAAUUCCUUGUCGGGUAAGUUCCGACCUGCACGAAUGGCGUAAUGAUGGCCAGGCUGUCUCCACCCGAGACUCAGUGAAAUUGAACUCGCUGUGAAGAUGCAGUGUACCCGCGGCAAGACGGAAAGACCCCGUGAACCUUUACUAUAGCUUGACACUGAACAUUGAGCCUUGAUGUGUAGGAUAGGUGGGAGGCUUUGAAGUGUGGACGCCAGUCUGCAUGGAGCCGACCUUGAAAUACCACCCUUUAAUGUUUGAUGUUCUAACGUUGACCCGURAUCCGGGUUGCGGACAGUGUCUGGUGGGUAGUUUGACUGGGGCGGUCUCCUCCUAAAGAGUAACGGAGGAGCACGAAGGUUGGCUAAUCCUGGUCGGACAUCAGGAGGUUAGUGCAAUGGCAUAAGCCAGCUUGACUGCGAGCGUGACGGCGCGAGCAGGUGCGAAAGCAGGUCAUAGUGAUCCGGUGGUUCUGAAUGGAAGGGCCAUCGCUCAACGGAUAAAAGGUACUCCGGGGAUAACAGGCUGAUACCGCCCAAGAGUUCAUAUCGACGGCGGUGUUUGGCACCUCGAUGUCGGCUCAUCACAUCCUGGGGCUGAAGUAGGUCCCAAGGGUAUGGCUGUUCGCCAUUUAAAGUGGUACGCGAGCUGGGUUUAGAACGUCGUGAGACAGUUCGGUCCCUAUCUGCCGUGGGCGCUGGAGAAYUGAGGGGGGCUGCUCCUAGUACGAGAGGACCGGAGUGGACGCAUCACUGGUGUUCGGGUUGUCAUGCCAAUGGCACUGCCCGGUAGCUAAAUGCGGAAGAGAUAAGUGCUGAAAGCAUCUAAGCACGAAACUUGCCCCGAGAUGAGUUCUCCCUGACUCCUUGAGAGUCCUGAAGGAACGUUGAAGACGACGACGUUGAUAGGCCGGGUGUGUAAGCGCAGCGAUGCGUUGAGCUAACCGGUACUAAUGAACCGUGAGGCUUAACCUUACAACGCCGAAG
Molecule: ribosomal RNA, 2811 nt
Filed under: Escherichia coli
Lineage: Bacteria; Pseudomonadati; Pseudomonadota; Gammaproteobacteria; Enterobacterales; Enterobacteriaceae
Description: partial 23S ribosomal RNA
Source: RNAcentral